RNAcentral lists this ribosomal RNA (254 nucleotides) under uncultured bacterium. Its description in RNAcentral is "partial 16S ribosomal RNA". It matches the Rfam family "Bacterial small subunit ribosomal RNA", at positions 524 to 776 of the family's 1533-position model. The record is from RNAcentral.
UACGGGGGGAGCAAGCGUUGUUCGGAUUUACUGGGCGUAAAGGGCGCGUAGGCGGCCACCGCAAGUCGAUUGUGAAAUCUCCGGGCUUAACCCGGAAAGGUCAACCGAUACUGCGGGGCUAGAGUGCGGAAGGGGCAACUGGAAUUCUUGGUGUAGCGGUGAAAUGCGUAGAUAUCAGGAGGAACACCGGUGGCGAAGGCGCUCAUCUGGCCCAAUACUGACGCUGAAGCGCGAAAGCUAGGGGAGCAAACGGG